This 468-nucleotide ribosomal RNA is filed under the name uncultured bacterium. RNAcentral describes it as "partial 16S ribosomal RNA". It matches the Rfam family "Bacterial small subunit ribosomal RNA", at positions 28 to 507 of the family's 1533-position model. The record is from RNAcentral.
GACGAACGCUGGCGGCGUGCUUAACACAUGCAAGUCGAACGGAAAGGCCCUGCUUUUGUGGGGUGCUCGAGUGGCGAACGGGUGAGUAACACGUGAGUAACCUGCCCUUGACUUUGGGAUAACUUCAGGAAACUGGGGCUAAUACCGGAUAGGAGCUCCUGCUGCGUGGUGGGGGAUGGAAAGUUUCGGCGGUUGGGGAUGGACUCGCGGCUUAUGAGCUUGUUGGUGGGGUAGUGGCUUACCACGGCUAUGACGGGUAGCCGGCAUGAGAGCCUGACCGGCCACAUUGGGACUGAGAUACGGCCCAGACUCGUACGGGACGCAGCAGUGGGGAAUAUUGCACAAUGGGCGGAAGUCAGAGGCAGCAAUGCCGCGUGCGUGAUGCCGGCCUUCGGGUUGUAAACCGCUUUGGCCGGUGACGAAGCGUGAGUGACGGUAAUGGGUAAAGAAGCACCGGCUAACUACGUG